AAUAUUGGACAAUGGGCGAAAUCCUGAUCCAGCCAGGCCGUGUGUUUGAAAAAGGUCUCGGGAUUGUAAAGCACUUUACGUUGGGAGGAAGGGCAGCACGUUAAUCCCUUGCUGUCUUGACUUUACCGACUGAUUAAGCACCGGCCAACUUCGCGCCAGCAGCCGCGGUAAUACGAAGGGUGCAAGAGUUAAUCGGAAUUACUGGGCGUAAAGCGGGUGUAGGUGGUUUGUUAAGUUGGAAGUAGAAGCCCCGGGCUCAACAUGGGAGCUGCUUUCAGAACUGGCAAGCUAGAGUAUGACAGAAGGUGGUGGAAUUUCCUGUGUAGCGGUGAAAUGCGUAGUUAUAGGAAGGAGCACCAGUGGCGAAGGCGACCACCUGGGCUAAUACUGACACUGAGGUGCGAAAGCGUGGGGAGCAAACAG
Molecule: ribosomal RNA, 423 nt
Filed under: uncultured bacterium
Lineage: Bacteria
Description: partial 16S ribosomal RNA
Rfam family: Bacterial small subunit ribosomal RNA
Source: RNAcentral